This 484-nucleotide ribosomal RNA is filed under the name uncultured bacterium. Its description in RNAcentral is "partial 16S ribosomal RNA". It matches the Rfam family "Bacterial small subunit ribosomal RNA", at positions 30 to 507 of the family's 1533-position model. The record is from RNAcentral.
AUUGAACGCUGGCGGAAUGCUUUACACAUGCAAGUCGAACGGCAGCACGGGGGCAACCCUGGUGGCGAGUGGCGAACGGGUGAGUAAUACAUCGGAACGUGCCCGGUCGUGGGGGAUAACGUAGCGAAAGUUACGCUAAUACCGCAUACGAUCUGAGGAUGAAAGCGGGGGACCUUCGGGCCUCGCGCGAUCGGAGCGGCCGAUGUCCGAUUAGGUAGUUGGUGGGGUAAAGGCCUACCAAGCCGACGAUCUGUAGCUGGUCUGAGAGGAGGACCAGCCACACUGGGACUGAGACACGGCCCAGACUCCUACGGGAGGCAGCAGUGGGGAAUUUUGGACAAUGGGCGCAAGCCUGAUCCAGCCAUUCCGCGUGCAGGACGAAGGCCUUCGGGUUGUAAACUGCUUUUGUAGGGAACGAAAAGGCUCUGGCUAAUACCUGGGGCUCAUGACGGUACCGUAAGAAUAAGCACCGGCUAACUACGUG